UACGGAGGGUGCAAGCGUUAUCCGGAUUUACUGGGUUUAAAGGGAGCGCAGGCGGAUUGGUAAGUCAGUGGUGAAAUACCCGUGCUUAACAUGGGAACUGCCAUUGAUACUAUCAGUCUUGAAUAUCGUUGAGGUUUGCGGAAUGGGUCAUGUAGCGGUGAAAUGCAUAGAUAUGACCCGGAACACCUAUUGCGAAGGCAGCAGGCUAAACGAAGAUUGACGCUGAGGCUCGAAAGCGUGGGGAUCAAACGGG
This 253-nucleotide ribosomal RNA is filed under the name uncultured bacterium. RNAcentral's name for it is "partial 16S ribosomal RNA". It matches the Rfam family "Bacterial small subunit ribosomal RNA", at positions 524 to 776 of the family's 1533-position model. The record is from RNAcentral.